AACGAACGCUGGCGGCAUGCCUAACACAUGCAAGUCGAACGGUCCCUUCGGGGAUAGUGGCGCACGGGUGCGUAACGCGUGGGAACCUGCCCUUAGGUUCGGAAUAACUCAGAGAAAUUUGAGCUAAUACCGGUUAAUGUCUUCGGACCAAAGAUUUAUCGCCUUUGGAUGGGCCCGCGUUGGAUUAGCUGGUUGGUGGGGUAAAGGCCUACCAAGGCGACGAUCCAUAGCUGGUCUGAGAGGAUGAUCAGCCACGAUGGGACUGAGACACGGCCCAGACUCCUACGGGAGGCAGCAGUGGGGAAUAUUGGACAAUGGGCGAAAGCCUGAUACAGCAAUGCCGCGGGAGUGAUGAAGGCCUUAGGGUUGUAAAGCUCUUUUACCCGGGAUGAUAAUGACAGUACCGGGAGAAUAAGCCCCGGCUAACUCCGUG
RNAcentral lists this ribosomal RNA (433 nucleotides) under uncultured bacterium. RNAcentral describes it as "partial 16S ribosomal RNA". It matches the Rfam family "Bacterial small subunit ribosomal RNA", at positions 29 to 507 of the family's 1533-position model. The record is from RNAcentral.